RNAcentral lists this ribosomal RNA (305 nucleotides) under uncultured bacterium. RNAcentral describes it as "bacterial SSU rRNA". It matches the Rfam family "Bacterial small subunit ribosomal RNA", at positions 334 to 653 of the family's 1533-position model. The record is from RNAcentral.
GUGUCCUACGGGGGGCAGCAGUGGGGAAUAUUGGACAAUGGGGGGAACCCUGAUCCAGCGACGCCGCGUGAGUGAAGAAGUAUUUCGGUAUGUAAAGCUCUAUCAGCAGGGAAGAAAGAAAUGACGGUACCUGACUAAGAAGCCCCGGCUAACUACGUGCCAGCAGCCGCGGUAAUACGUAGGGGGCAAGCGUUAUCCGGAUUUAUUGGGUGUAAAGGGUGCGUAGACGGAGAAACAAGUUGGUUGUGAAAUCCCUCGGCUCAACUGAGGAACUGCAACCAAAACUAUUUCCCUUGAGUGUCGGG